Molecule: small RNA, 737 nt
Filed under: Pongo abelii (Sumatran orangutan)
Lineage: Eukaryota; Metazoa; Chordata; Mammalia; Primates; Hominidae
Description: processed transcript
Source: RNAcentral
GAGCUGCACGUGGGCUUUUCUGUGUUGGCAGAACGUCCAUGGUGAGCCAUCUGCAUGUGAAUUUCCAUUUCCAAAAGUCGUCAGCAAUAGUAAAUGCCUAGAAAUCACGCAGAUGGAUGGAGCUGGUGUGAAGAGGAACAACUUCGACAUUGUUUCCUUCCACGAACCUCUUAAUUAAUUGCUUCCACUUUAAUGGAAUAAUUAUGGAACACAGUUUUAAUGGCAUGUGGCCACAACUGUAAAGAGGAUAAAGCUUUGUCCUCCAAAUACAGCUCAGCAUCUUUGUUCAUACUUAGAAAUGUGCAGCGUUCUUGUUUGUAUAUUGAGAGAGAUUUAAUUCUUAUUUUGGUUUUCAUGUCUGUUUACUGCAGGAAGCAGACAGUAUGAGCAUGACCAGUGGAGAAGGUACUAGUCAUCCUCCAGAAAGAGUGUGGAGAGAAAAAGAGGCACACCUGGACGCAGAGCCCUGCCAGCGCCCUCCUCUGCUGUCGCAGCUGCAAGGAGACCAUGCGUGGGAGCCAGGCCUCGCUUGCAUGAAGAAGGAAUGAUGCCUUUUUCAGUGGUGUCUCCCUCCCAUCGUGCAGAAGAGCUUUUGUUGGCUUCUCUCCCGAGCUUGUGCCUGAUUCUGUGGCCCAAAACAAUCAUUGUUAACAUCUUCAUGUGUUUCGUUCUGAUCUUUCAUUCAUAUAUAUGAUGCCUAGCUAAUUUCAUUUUAAAAUAAAUGGGCAUCUGUUGUA